GCCCCUCCCUGCCUUUGAACUCACAGAAGGGUGGGGAGGGGCAGCGUGUAGGUCAGACAAGACAAUGCUGAGUGAAAGGUACAGGGUGGUGGUCUGGCAGAGGGGCCGUGAGGACAAGAAGUGCCCACAGCAUCCUAGACAUAGGUCCACCGCCUCAACUCCAGCUCGCUCCCUCUGGACUCAGAGUGUAGACAAACGCCUGUGAGGUGCCCUGAGCCCUUUGGAGAUGAUCACUCCGAUCCGGUGCCCAGGCCGGUUGGCCAAGCACCCUGGGAGCCUCAGUGCCUGGAAGCGGCCCUGGAUUUUCUGGACCUCUGAGGGCCCUGGGUGGAGGAAGCCCACGUCCUGAGUGCGUCUGGACGUGCGGGGUGAG
This 373-nucleotide long non-coding RNA is filed under the name Equus caballus (horse). RNAcentral's name for it is "lncRNA (ENSECAG00000051329.1)". Lineage: Eukaryota; Metazoa; Chordata; Mammalia; Perissodactyla; Equidae. The record is from RNAcentral.